Molecule: long non-coding RNA, 840 nt
Organism: Cyprinus carpio (common carp)
Lineage: Eukaryota; Metazoa; Chordata; Actinopteri; Cypriniformes; Cyprinidae
Source: Ensembl
AUGGAGGAGGUGAGAGAGAAUGCCAGGUGUGAUCGGUCAGACACCUGUGCCAGCGCUCAUAUCAGCUCCCAGAACCCACUCACAGAUCGGACGUCCCAUGAGGGCCCCCGAAGACCACAAAACUACAAGAAUAGACUGAGAAAGAGAGUCAGUUAUAGGGCUGUAAAGGUCUCUUUAGCCCAGACACGGGCCGCCCGUGUCAGGGGAAGCUGAAAGCUAACAUGAUUACCGGAGUGGAACAACUAGCAGCACACUGGAGACACACAGGAAAACUAUAUACAUGCCUCUGGAGGUUAGCAUUGACGGAUCUGUGUCCUGGCUACAUCCUUUUUCGGGUAAUGUAAAGCCUGGAGAGAUCAUGAAGUUUAUUUAAAAUCUUUGAAAAAGUAAUUAGCUAUGCUAUCAGUACCAAACUUCUGAAAACAUGUAACUAGAUAAGCUUUAGGUUACUAUAGAAAACGGUAUUCAUAUUGACCAAGGGCUCCAGAAAAAGCACCAUAAAAUAGUCCAGACAGUUCAUGCAUUAUAUUUUAUGAUUUCUGAAGCCAUAUAAUACAUUAUUGUGAGAAACAGGAUUAAAUUCAAGGCAGUCAUACAUAUUUAUUAUUCUGAAGCUUGUGUUGAAUCUGUUUUCACCGCAAACAAAGGGUUUUCUAACUUGGUAUUAUUUGUCUGUUGUUUUUCAGUAAAAAUCCAAAAAAACUUAAAGGAAAUCAUGGGGUAAUUUUCAUUUUUGGGUGAACUAUCCCUUUAAGUUUUUUUGGAUUUUUACUGAAAAACAUUAGACAAAAUUUAUUCUUUCAGAUGCAUGCAAUCGGAGUUAUAUUAAAAAAAAUGUCC